AUAGUUAUUCCUGACUGUUAAUUUUGUCAUUUUUACAGAGAUUAGCAUGGCCCCUGCGCAAGGAUGACAUGCAAAUUUGUGAAGCAUUCCAUAUUUUU
RNAcentral lists this small nuclear RNA (98 nucleotides) under Castor canadensis (American beaver). The record is from RNAcentral. Lineage: Eukaryota; Metazoa; Chordata; Mammalia; Rodentia; Castoridae.